Molecule: small nuclear RNA, 192 nt
Filed under: Dasypus novemcinctus (nine-banded armadillo)
Lineage: Eukaryota; Metazoa; Chordata; Mammalia; Cingulata; Dasypodidae
Description: U2 spliceosomal RNA (ENSDNOG00000028999.1)
Rfam family: U2 spliceosomal RNA
About the family: U2 is a small nuclear RNA (snRNA) component of the spliceosome (involved in pre-mRNA splicing). Complementary binding between U2 snRNA (in an area lying towards the 5' end but 3' to hairpin I) and the branchpoint sequence (BPS) of the intron results the bulging out of an unpaired adenosine, on the BPS, which initiates a nucleophilic attack at the intronic 5' splice site, thus starting the first of two transesterification reactions that mediate splicing.
Source: RNAcentral
AUUGCUUCUCAAUCUUUUGGCUGAGAUCAAGUGUAAUAUUUGUUCUUAUCAGUUUAGAAUCUGAUACAUCCUCUGUCUGAGGACAAUAUAUUAAAUGGAUUUUUGGAAUUUAGGAGACAGAAUAGGGGCUUGCUCUCUCCACUCCACACAUCGACCUGGUAUUGCAGUACCUCCAGGAAUGGUGCACCAAAA